RNAcentral lists this ribosomal RNA (700 nucleotides) under uncultured bacterium. RNAcentral describes it as "bacterial SSU rRNA". It matches the Rfam family "Bacterial small subunit ribosomal RNA", at positions 42 to 790 of the family's 1533-position model. The record is from RNAcentral.
UCAGGCCUAACACAUGCAAGUCGAGCGCGCCUUCGGGUGAGCGGCGGACGGGUUAGUAACGCGUGGGAACGUGCCCUUCUCUACGGAAUAGCCUCUGGAAACGGAGAGUAAUACCGUAUACGCCCUUUGGGGGAAAGAUUUAUCGGAGAAGGAUCGGCCCGCGUUAGAUUAGGUAGUUGGUGGGGUAACGGCCUACCAAGCCUACGAUCUAUAGCUGGUUUUAGAGGAUGAUCAGCAACACUGGGACUGAGACACGGCCCAGACUCCUACGGGAGGCAGCAGUGGGGAAUCUUAGACAAUGGGGGCAACCCUGAUCUAGCCAUGCCGCGUGAGUGAUGAAGGCCUUAGGGUCGUAAAGCUCUUUCGCCUGUGAUGAUAAUGACAGUAGCAGGUAGAGAAGCCCCGGCUAACUCCGUGCCAGCAGCCGCGGUAAUACGGAGGGGGUUAGCGUUGUUCGGAAUUACUGGGCGUAAAGCGCGCGUAGGCGGAUUAGAAAGUUGGGGGUGAAAUCCCGGGGCUCAACCUCGGAACUGCCUCCAAAACUGCUAGUCUAGAGUUCGAGAGAGGUGAGUGGGAUUCCGAGUGUAGAGGUGAAAUUCGUAGAUAUUCGGAGGAACACCAGUGGCGAAGGCGGCUCACUGGCUCGAUACUGACGCUGAGGUGCGAAAGUGUGGGGAGCAAACAGGAUUAGAUACCCUGG